This 431-nucleotide ribosomal RNA is filed under the name uncultured bacterium. Its description in RNAcentral is "partial 16S ribosomal RNA". It matches the Rfam family "Bacterial small subunit ribosomal RNA", at positions 29 to 507 of the family's 1533-position model. The record is from RNAcentral.
AACGAACGCUGGCGGCAGGCCUAACACAUGCAAGUCGAGCGCCCCGCAAGGGGAGCGGCGGACGGGUGAGUAACGCGUGGGAAUAUGCCCUUUGCUACGGAAUAGUCUCGGGAAACUGGGGGUAAUACCGUAUACGCCCUUUGGGGGAAAGAUUUAUCGGCGAAGGAUUAGCCCGCGUUGGAUUAGGUAGUUGGUGGGGUAAUGGCCUACCAAGCCGACGAUCCAUAGCUGGUUUGAGAGGAUGAUCAGCCACACUGGGACUGAGAUACGGCCCAGACUCCUACGGGAGGCAGCAGUGGGGAAUCUUAGACAAUGGGGGCAACCCUGAUCUAGCCAUGCCGCGUGAGUGAUGAAGGCCUUAGGGUUGUAAAGCUCUUUCAGCUGGGAAGAUAAUGACGGUACCAGCAGAAGAAGCCCCGGCUAACUCCGUG